Molecule: ribosomal RNA, 312 nt
Filed under: Klebsiella pneumoniae
Lineage: Bacteria; Pseudomonadati; Pseudomonadota; Gammaproteobacteria; Enterobacterales; Enterobacteriaceae
Description: partial 23S ribosomal RNA
Rfam family: Bacterial large subunit ribosomal RNA
Source: RNAcentral
UGUUUCGGCUAGGGGGUCAUCCCGACUUACCAACCCGAUGCAAACUACGAAUACCGAAGAAUGUUAUCACGGGAGACACACGGCGGGUGCUAACGUCCGUCGUGAAGAGGGAAACAACCCAGACCGCCAGCUAAGGUCCCAAAGUCAUGGUUAAGUGGGAAACGAUGUGGGAAGGCACAGACAGCCAGGAUGUUGGCUUAGAAGCAGCCAUCAUUUAAAGAAAGCGUAAUAGCUCACUGGUCGAGUCGGCCUGCGCGGAAGAUGUAACGGGGCUAAACCAUGCACCGAAGCUGCGGCAGCGACACUAUGUGU